ACUGGAGUCUGCAACCCGACUCCACGAAGCUGGAUUCGCUAGUAAUCGCGCAUCAGCCACGGCGCGGUGAAUACGUUCCCGGGCCUUGUACACACCGCCCGUCAAGCCAUGGGAGCCGGGGGUACCUGAAGUGCGUAACCGCGAGGAGCGCCCUAGGGUAAAACUGGUGACUGGGGCUAAGUCGUAACAAGGUAUC
Molecule: ribosomal RNA, 196 nt
Filed under: uncultured bacterium
Lineage: Bacteria
Description: partial 16S ribosomal RNA
Rfam family: Bacterial small subunit ribosomal RNA
Source: RNAcentral